RNAcentral lists this ribosomal RNA (253 nucleotides) under uncultured bacterium. Its description in RNAcentral is "partial 16S ribosomal RNA". It matches the Rfam family "Bacterial small subunit ribosomal RNA", at positions 524 to 776 of the family's 1533-position model. The record is from RNAcentral.
UACGAAGGGGGCUAGCGUUGCUCGGAAUCACUGGGCGUAAAGGGUGCGUAGGCGGGUCCUUAAGUCAGGGGUGAAAUCCUGGAGCUCAACUCCAGAACUGCCUUUGAUACUGAGGAUCUUGAGUUCGGGAGAGGUGAGUGGAACUGCGAGUGUAGAGGUGAAAUUCGUAGAUAUUCGCAAGAACACCAGUGGCGAAGGCGGCUCACUGGCCCGAUACUGACGCUGAGGCACGAAAGCGUGGGGAGCAAACAGG